RNAcentral lists this transfer RNA (77 nucleotides) under Gammaproteobacteria bacterium. Its description in RNAcentral is "tRNA-Arg". It matches the Rfam family "tRNA". Rfam says of the family: Transfer RNA (tRNA) molecules are approximately 80 nucleotides in length. Their secondary structure includes four short double-helical elements and three loops (D, anti-codon, and T loops). Further hydrogen bonds mediate the characteristic L-shaped molecular structure. tRNAs have two regions of fundamental functional importance: the anti-codon, which is responsible for specific mRNA codon recognition, and the 3' end, to which the tRNAs corresponding amino acid is attached (by aminoacyl-tRNA synthetases). tRNAs cope with the degeneracy of the genetic code in two manners: having more than one tRNA (with a specific anti-codon) for a particular amino acid; and 'wobble' base-pairing, i.e. permitting non-standard base-pairing at the 3rd anti-codon position. Lineage: Bacteria; Pseudomonadati; Pseudomonadota; Gammaproteobacteria. The record is from RNAcentral.
GCCCCGGUAGCUCAGUAGGAUAGAGCAUCGGAUUCCUAAUCCGGGGGCCAGAGGUUCGAAUCCUCUCCGGGGCACCA